GCCCUUAGAGUUUGAUCCUGGCUCAGGAUGAACGCUGGCGGCGUGCUUAACACAUGCAAGUCGAACGAUGAUGCCCACUUGUGGGUGGAUUAGUGGCGAACCGGGUGAGUAACACGUGAGUAACCUGCCCUUAACUCUGGGAUAAGCCUGGGAAACUGGGUCUAAUACCGGAUAUGACUCCUCAUCGCAUGGUGGGGGGUGGAAAGCUUUAUUGUGGUUUUGGAUGGACUCGCGGCCUAUCAGCUUGUUGGUGAGGUAAUGGCUCACCAAGGCGACGACGGGUAGCCGGCCUGAGAGGGUGACCGGCCACACUGGGACUGAGACACGGCCCAGACUCCUACGGGAGGCAGCAGUGGGGAAUAUUGCACAAUGGGCGCAAGCCUGAUGCAGCGACGCCGCGUGAGGGAUGACGGCCUUCGGGUUGUAAACCUCUUUCAGUAGGGAAGAAGCGAAAGUGACGGUACCUGCAGAAGAAGCGCCGGCUAACUACGUGCCAGCAGCCGCGGUAAUACGUAGGGCGCAAGCGUUAUCCGGAAUUAUUGGGCGUAAAGAGCUCGUAGGCGGUUUGUCGCGUCUGCCGUGAAAGUCCGGGGCUCAACUCCGGAUCUGCGGUGGGUACGGGCAGACUAGAGUGAUGUAGGGGAGACUGGAAUUCCUGGUGUAGCGGUGAAAUGCGCAGAUAUCAGGAGGAACACCGAUGGCGAAGGCAGGUCUCUGGGCAUUAACUGACGCUGAGGAGCGAAAGCAUGGGGAGCGAACAGGAUUAGAUACCCCUGGUAGUCCAUGCCGUAAACGUUGGGCACUAGGUGUGGGGGACAUUCCACGUUUUCCGCGCCGUAGCUAACGCAUUAAGUGCCCCGCCUGGGGAGUACGGCCGCAAGGCUAAAACUCAAAUGAAUUGACGGGGGCCCGCACAAGCGGUGGAGCAUGUGGUUUAAUUCGAUGCAACGCGAAGAACCUUACCUACUCUUGACAUCCACAGAAUUCGGUAGAGAUACCUUAGUGCCUUCGGGAACUGUGAGACAGGUGCUGCAUGGCUGUCGUCAGCUCGUGUUGUGAAAUGUUGGGUUAAGUCCCGCAACGAGCGCAACCCUUAUCCUUUGUUGCCAGCGGUUCGGCCGGGAACUCAAAGGAGACUGCCAGUGAUAAACUGGAGGAAGGUGGGGAUGACGUCAAGUCAUCAUGGCCCUUACGAGUAGGGCUACACACGUGCUACAAUGGCGCAUACAAAGAGAAGCGACCUCGCGAGAGCAAGCGGACCUCAUAAAGUGCGUCGUAGUCCGGAUCGGAGUCUGCAACUCGACUCCGUGAAGUCGGAAUCGCUAGUAAUCGUAGAUCAGAAUGCUACGGUGAAUACGUUCCCGGGCCUUGUACACACCGCCCGUCACACCAUGGGAGUGGGUUGCAAAAGAAGUAGGUAGCUUAACCUUCGGGAGGGCGCUUACCACUUUGUGAUUCAUGACUGGGGUGAAGUCGUAACAAGGUAACC
Molecule: ribosomal RNA, 1489 nt
Filed under: uncultured soil bacterium
Lineage: Bacteria
Description: partial 16S ribosomal RNA
Rfam family: Bacterial small subunit ribosomal RNA
Source: RNAcentral